Molecule: non-coding RNA, 30 nt
Filed under: Rattus norvegicus (Norway rat)
Lineage: Eukaryota; Metazoa; Chordata; Mammalia; Rodentia; Muridae
Source: RNAcentral
UCUUCUUGUAGAUGGACAUAGUUCUCUUUU